CUACGUGCCAGCAGCCGCGGUAAUACGUAGGUGGCGAGCGUUGUCCGGAAUCAUUGGGCGUAAAGGGAGCGCAGGCGGGCAUGUAAGUCUUUCUUAAAAGUUCGGGGCUCAACCCCGUGAUGGGAAAGAAACUACAUGUCUUGAGUACAGGAGAGGAAAGCGGAAUUCCCAGUGUAGCGGUGAAAUGCGUAGAUAUUGGGAGGAACACCAGUGGCGAAGGCGGCUUUCUGGACUGCAACUGACGCUGAGGCUCGAAAGCCAGGGGAGCGAACGGGAUUAGAUACCCCGGUAGUCCUGGCCGUAAACGAUGGAUACUAGGUGUGGGAGGUAUCGACCCCUACCGUGCCGGAGUUAACGCAAUAAGUAUCCCGCCUGGGGAGUACGGUCGCAAGACUGAAACUCAAAGGAAUUGACGGGGGCCCGCACAAGCGGUGGAGUAUGUGGUUUAAUUCGACGCAACGCGAAGAACCUUACCAGGUCUUGACAUUGAUGGACAGAACUAGAGAUAG
RNAcentral lists this ribosomal RNA (509 nucleotides) under uncultured bacterium. Its description in RNAcentral is "bacterial SSU rRNA". It matches the Rfam family "Bacterial small subunit ribosomal RNA", at positions 501 to 1009 of the family's 1533-position model. The record is from RNAcentral.